This 72-nucleotide transfer RNA is filed under the name Cordylochernes scorpioides. Its description in RNAcentral is "tRNA-Gly". Lineage: Eukaryota; Metazoa; Arthropoda; Arachnida; Pseudoscorpiones; Chernetidae. The record is from RNAcentral.
UGCUUCGGCCGGGAAUCGAACCCGGGCCCCCCGCGUGGCAGGCGAGCAUUCUACCACUGAGCCACCGAUGGU